GGGCGAUUAGCUCAGCGGGAGAGCGCUUCCCUGACACGGAAGAGGUCACAGGUUCAAUCCCUGUAUCGCCCACCA
This 75-nucleotide transfer RNA is filed under the name Nakamurella multipartita. Its description in RNAcentral is "tRNA-Val". It matches the Rfam family "tRNA". Rfam says of the family: Transfer RNA (tRNA) molecules are approximately 80 nucleotides in length. Lineage: Bacteria; Bacillati; Actinomycetota; Actinomycetes; Nakamurellales; Nakamurellaceae. The record is from RNAcentral. RNAcentral also lists the same sequence under 7 other names.